This 241-nucleotide ribosomal RNA is filed under the name uncultured bacterium. Its description in RNAcentral is "partial 16S ribosomal RNA". It matches the Rfam family "Bacterial small subunit ribosomal RNA", at positions 337 to 592 of the family's 1533-position model. The record is from RNAcentral.
GCCUACGGGGGGCAGCAGUGGGGAAUAUUGGGCAAUGGGCGCAAGCCUGACCCAGCAACGCCGCGUGAAGGAAGAAGGCUUUCGGGUUGUAAACUUCUUUUACCAGGGACGAAGAAAGUGACGGUACCUGGAGAAUAAGCCACGGCUAACUACGUGCCAGCAGCCGCGGUAAUACGUAGGUGGCGAGCGUUGUCCGGAUUUACUGGGUGUAAAGGGCGCGUAGGCGGGAAUGCAAGUCAGA